Mustela lutreola (European mink) is the source of this 3629-nucleotide long non-coding RNA. RefSeq lists it as uncharacterized. The transcript is spliced from 3 exons. The record is from RefSeq and is a predicted model, not a curated record. NCBI's taxonomy places the organism in Eukaryota, Metazoa, Chordata, Mammalia, Carnivora, Mustelidae.
CAGGCCGAGCUGCACAUGCGCAGGACGGCGGCGGCGGUGCGCCUCUUGGAGCCCACUCGGGAGCGAGUCAAAUACCGGACCUCUGUUUCCCAAACCUGAGACCCUGUUCUGGGCAACUUCUGACCGAACACAAGCCCGUGAUCCCUUCUCCAAGCUGGGGCAAAGCCAGGAGUGGCCAAAAGGUCUGUGAAGAUACAGUUGUCUACCUCUGCUGCCAAGCACCAUGGAAUCUGGUCCUUCCAAUCAGGAAGGUCGGAAGCCUCUGAUGUCACAGGUCAUUCCAACCUGGCAACCAGUUUGAAGGGAAACACGUAACUGCCACAGUGGUGUCCAGUUUUGCAUCUCGAGGUAAGGGCUGUUUCCAGCCACCGACCCAGCCUUGGACCAUCCUCCAAAACUGUCCUCGAGGGGUCUGGAUCGCUCUACUCCUCUCCAGCAGAUACCCGGCUCUCUCCCCUCUUGGCACAUAUUGGGCUCUCUCCAUCCUUCCUAUUCCUUUUCAGGGCACAAUCUGGUGGGAGAAGGAGGAAAGAGACAAGGGAAUUUGGGAUGGGCCGAAACGUAAGAACUUACAAGACAGACAUAAGUAUGUCAAGAAGGUUCCAGGUACAUGGACUUGUUGGAAGUAAAACUUAGUUUAAGGGACGCCUGGGUGGCUCAGUUGGUUAAGCAGCUGCCUUCGGCUCAGGUCACGGUCCAGCAUCCUGGAAUUGAGUCCCACAUCAGGCUCCUGGCUCGGCGGGGAGCCUGCUUCUCCCUCUGCCUCUGCCUGCCUCUCUGCCUGUGCUCACUCGCUCCCUCUCCCUCCCUCUCUCUCUCUGACAAAUAAAUAAAUAAUUUUUUUUAAAGAAAGUUAGUUUAAAUCGCUUGAUUUGGUAGACUUCUUCUGCUCCAUGUUUUACAGACAUUGUGUUGGGGGUGGGGGUUCAGUGGUGGGGGAGCACCCACGCUCUCCUCUGAGGCAACUCUGAGCCCAAGAGACAUUUUGGGAACCUGAACCGGUAGAUAACUGUACCUGUGUUCUCACACACUUCAGACGGUGUCUACAACUUAAGAAGUCCCUGGACCACCCAAAACCUGCCCCUUGAUCACAAUUAAUCAGCUCUAGUCUGCAUCUGAAAUUUGUAAGCCCGUGUAUCACUCUCGACCCAGAAACUUCAUGACCACUUGUGUAUCUUAUGAACAAAAUGCCACAUGCACAAAAAGGCUAGAUGGAAAAAUCUCCCGUUUAAGGCAGAAUCUGUUUAACCAAGAAGGUGGGAAGCAUGUGGUAGCAUAGACGCCGUCACAGAGGUUCUGGCCGGCUGUCCAUUAACAUCAGAAGAAGCUUCUUCCCAACCUCCUACCUCCUACCUCUGCUUCUCACCUGUGCAUCUGAAUCUUGCUCACUCUCUCCUUCUGUGUUAAAAUAACAGGACUGAAAAUUUACCAUUUUAACCAUUUUUGAGGGUAUGAUUUGUUAGCAGUAUGCACCUUCGGGUCUCUGUGCGACCAUCAGCACCAUCCUUCUCCAGAACUUUUUCGUCUUCCCUGAAACUGAAACUCUGCACCCACUGAAGGAGAACUGCCCGUUCUCCCCUCGCCCAGCCCCUGGCAAGCACCAUUCCACUUUCUGUCUCUAGAGAUUGGGCUAUUUCAGAUAGUUCCUAUCCGUAGAAUCAUGCAGUAUUUUCUGCGUAUGUUUCUGAUUUAUUUCAUUCAACACAAUGUCUUCCAAGCUCCUUUGUGUUAUAGUGUGUGACAGAAUUCCUUCCUUUUUAAAGAUGAAUAAUAUCCAUUCUGUGUGUGUGUAUGUUUGCAUUUUUACAUGUUCCUUUCACAAUCAUAUAAGAACAGUGAUACAUACAUACCAUUUUUAGUUUAUCCAUCCAUCUGUUGAUGGACGCCAGUAAUGUUUCCACAUUUUGGCUAAGCCUUGCUUUCGAUCCAUUGUUUGAAAUUGGAUGAGAAACACAUCCUUAAUUCGGGAUGUGCCUCAAGUUUUAUUUUGCACUUCGAUCAAACUUACGGAUAGCUAAGGAGCCCAGUCCAAGCAUAAAUAAAGUCAAACCAGUUCACCCAGGAAACAAUAUGGAGGUUUCUCCAAAGAUUUUAGAAAACCAAACGAACAAACCCCCCAAAAAACAGAAGUACCCUAUAAUCUGGCACUCUUAAGGCCAGGUAUACAACCAAAGGAAAUGAAAACAGGAUAUUAAAGAAAUAUCUGCCCUCCUGUGUUCAUUGCAGCAUUACUCACAAUAGCCGAGAUAGGAAAACUACCACGGUGUCCGUCAACGGAGGCGUGCAUAAAGAGGAUGUGAGGUCCAUACACAGGGAGCUGUAGAUUGGUAUUUGUAUAGAGGUGAGAAAGUAGGAAAUCCUGCCAUUCGUGACAACAUGGAUGGACCUUGAGGGCAUUAUGUGGAAUGAAAUAAGACUGACAGAGAAAGACAAAUACUGUUGGUAACAUUUAUAUGGGAAAUCUUAAAAAACAACAAAAAGUCAAACUCAGAGAAACAGAAGGUUAAAAAAAAGAAAGGAGGUUGCCAGGGGUGGGGAAGGUGGAGGAACUAGGGCGAGGCUGGUAAAAAGAAGAAAACUUUUCAGUGAGAAGAUGAAGUCUACAGAUCUCCUAUCAGACACAGUAACCGCACACAACAUAGCACAUAAAUGAAAUUUGCCAGGGCAGUAGAUCUUACAUGUUUUCACCCCUCAAAAAGGUCAGUGGGUGAGGUCAUGGAUGUGUUAAUUAACUAGGUGGUUAGAAUCCCUUCACUGUGUACAUCAUAAUGAUGUACACUUUAAAUCGUACAGAUUUAUAUGUCAGUUACACCUCAAUAAAACUGAAAUUUUUAAAAAGUAGUUGAUCCAAGGUGCAGGGACCGACAGUUACCUUUGUUUGCAGUUGUUAACCUUCACAUUUGGAUGAGGUCUCAGAGAGCCUGCAGGUGGCCUUGGGGUUCCCGCACAGAGUCCCUGGUCCUGGACCUCCUGCGGGUCCCACACUGACCCAUGAAGGUCACGUGACUCGUGGCUGCAGAAGUUCAAUCUCUAGGAAGCCUAUUUGCAUUCAGAUUUCCAUUCCUGAUGUUUUCAGCCAUCAGACCUGAGUGGACCCCCGCCAUAACAAAACAGAAGUCUGCGAUUUGUUAUUUAGUUAUUUAUUUUUAAAGGUUAUAUUUCUUUAUUUGACAGACAUCACCAGUAGCCAGAGAGGCAGGCAGAGGGACAGGGGUGGGGAGGCAGACUCCCCACCGAGCAGAGAGCCCGAUGCGGGGCUCGAUCCCAGGAUACUGAGACCAUGACCCGAGCUGAAGGCAGAGGCUUUAACCCACUGCCACCUAGGCACCUCUGGGAUUUGUUUUUUAGAACAAGGGAUGUGAUGCGCUAAAGACUGAAGCAAGAUCCCAGGAUUCACCUCGGCUGCUCUGAUUCAAGUCCUCAGUCCUGUUCACGAUGUCCCUUCUCCAUCUGCUCAGACUCCCGUUGGUAGAUAAUCUGGAGAACAUAAGCCAAGACAACUGGCACGGAUGGGCACCAAGAUGACAAGGUACAUUUAGGAUGAACAAUGAAAAACUUAUACCAAAUGCCGCUGGCAAGUCCUGUGACCCUGAAACAGGUGUAUUGUUUUGCUGGAGAACUUCUAUGUA